GCUGGGAUAGCUCGGUCGGUAAAGCAUAAGACUCCUAAUUUCAAGGUUGUGGGUUCAAGCCUCAUGUUGGGCA
Podarcis lilfordi (Lilford's wall lizard) is the source of this 73-nucleotide non-coding RNA. The record is from the annotation of a GenBank genome assembly. NCBI's taxonomy places the organism in Eukaryota, Metazoa, Chordata, Lepidosauria, Squamata, Lacertidae.